This 638-nucleotide ribosomal RNA is filed under the name uncultured organism. RNAcentral's name for it is "bacterial SSU rRNA". It matches the Rfam family "Bacterial small subunit ribosomal RNA", at positions 772 to 1409 of the family's 1533-position model. The record is from RNAcentral.
ACAGGAUUAGAUACCCUGGUAGUCCACGCUGUAAACGAUGGAUACUCGCUGCUCGAACACUCGAGUUCGAGUGCCUGCGCGAAGGCAUUAAGUAUCCCACCUGGGGAGUACGCCCGCAAGGGUGAAACUCAAAGGAAUUGACGGGGGCCCGCACAAGUGCUGGAGCAUGUGGUCUAAUUCGAUGAUACGCGAGGAACCUUACCUGGGCUCGAAUGGUACCGGAAGGUCCCCGAAACGGGACUGUUUCUUCGGAACUGGUAUCAAGGUGCUGCAUGGUUGUCGUCAGCUCGUGCCGUGAGGUGUUGGGUUAAGUCCCGCAACGAGCGCAACCCCUAUAGUUAGUUGCCAGCAGGUCAAGCUGGGGACUCUAGCUAGACUGCCCGUGCAAGCGGAGAGGAAGGCGGGGACGACGUCAAAUCAUCAUGGCCCUUACGCCCAGGGCUACACACGUGCUACAAUGGCCGGUACAGCAGGCAGCGACCCCGCAAGGGCAAGCAAAUCCGCAAAAGCCGGUCUCAGUUCGGAUCGUAGUCUGCAACUCGACUACGUGAAGCCGGAAUCACUAGUAAUCGCGUCUCAGCAAUGACGCGGUGAAUACGUUCCCGGGCCUUGUACACACCGCCCGUCAAGCCACGGAA